UACAGAGGUCUCAAGCGUUGUUCGGAUUCAUUGGGCGUAAAGGGUGCGUAGGCGGCUUGUCGCGUCGACCGUGAAAACUUGGGGCUCAACCCCAAGCCUGCGGUCGAUACGGGCAGGCUCGAGUUCGGUAGGGGAGACUGGAAUUCCCGGUGUAGCGGUGAAAUGCGCAGAUAUCGGGAGGAACACCGGUGGCGAAGGUGGUUCUCUGGGCCUUACCUGACGCUGAGGAGCGAAAGCGUGGGGAGCGAACAGG
This 253-nucleotide ribosomal RNA is filed under the name uncultured bacterium. Its description in RNAcentral is "partial 16S ribosomal RNA". It matches the Rfam family "Bacterial small subunit ribosomal RNA", at positions 524 to 776 of the family's 1533-position model. The record is from RNAcentral.